AGCGAACGUUAGCGGCGGGCCUAACACAUGCAAGUCGUACGAGAAUGAGGGGGCAACUCCUCUAGUAAAGUGGCGGACGGGUGCGUAACACGUGGGUAAUCUACCUUCCGGCGGGGGACAACAGUCCGAAAGGAUUGCUAAUACCGCGUACGUCAGCGAGACCUACGGGUCUUGUUGGGAAAGACGGCCUCUUCUUGAAAGCUGUCACCGGAAGAUGAGCCCGCGGCCCAUCAGCUAGUUGGUGAGGUAAUGGCUCACCAAGGCUAAGAC
This 270-nucleotide ribosomal RNA is filed under the name uncultured bacterium. Its description in RNAcentral is "partial 16S ribosomal RNA". It matches the Rfam family "Bacterial small subunit ribosomal RNA", at positions 29 to 280 of the family's 1533-position model. The record is from RNAcentral.